UACGUAGGCAGCAAGCGUUGUUCGGAGUUACUGGGCGUAAAGAGUGCGUAGGCGGUUUUCUAAGUUUGGUGUGAAAUCUCCCGGCUCAACUGGGAGGGUGCGCCGAAAACUGGAAGGCUUGAGUAUGGGAGAGGUAAGCGGAAUUCCUGGUGUAGCGGUGAAAUGCGUAGAUAUCAGGAGGAACACCGAUGGCGAAGGCAGUGUUCUGGGCCAGUACUGACGCUGAGGAGCGAAAGCGUGGGGAGCAAACAGG
This 253-nucleotide ribosomal RNA is filed under the name uncultured bacterium. RNAcentral describes it as "partial 16S ribosomal RNA". It matches the Rfam family "Bacterial small subunit ribosomal RNA", at positions 524 to 776 of the family's 1533-position model. The record is from RNAcentral.